Taeniopygia guttata (zebra finch) is the source of this 3242-nucleotide long non-coding RNA. Lineage: Eukaryota; Metazoa; Chordata; Aves; Passeriformes; Estrildidae. The record is from Ensembl.
CCGUCAGGCACCCGGAAGGUUUAGCGCCCUGACUUCUUGCUGGGAAGGCAAAGCCGUGCGUUCGGCACGAACGCGCUGGGACACCCCACGGAAAGCCACCGGCGUGGCCGAUACUCGGCUGCGGUUCCAAAUGGUAUCUGAACUUGGUACUCACAUGACAGUAAACCAGAAGAUUGUGUAUAGUAACAUCAUAGGAUUUUCAUAAUUUGUUCUUAUGGAAGACCUAUCUCUGAAAAAGCUCAAGUAUUUUUUGAAGCACUUUUGUUCUUCAGAGUCAUCUCUUCACAUUAUUUUGCCCCGGCACUAGAAGAGGGGUGUUGUGCAGAGAAGCGCAUGUGGCAGCCGUGUGGCAGUCCCCAAGAGCAGCGCGGUGCGGGACGCGCACCCCGGCUGAGUGCGCUGCACCAGGAGCCAGCAUCCUGUCCACAGCACUCCUCGCCUGCGUGCACGGCCGCUGCCCGCUCCAGCACGACAGGCUAACAGCCACAUGAUUUGGCGCCUUAACUGUGCGCAGAACUGAUCCUGGUGUAUUGUGUUGGGUGGGAAUUUUUUUGGCUGUUAGGGUUUGUUGGUUGCUUUCUUGCUUGCUUGACUGGUAUUUUCCCAGAGUAUGCUGUUUAGGGAAUUGUAUUGUCUUUCACAAAGUCUCAGUUGAUCCUUCAAUCGUGCUUGUGGAAAACGUCUAGUAGGCACAGUGUGAUCCAGACCACCACUUCUGUGGGAAUAAGCUGCUGUAUCACCUGCAUGAGCCAGUUGUUUCUCUAUUGUUCUGCACAAGUCUGCUGGAACAGGAUCAUAAAUUUCAACCCAAAACAAAAACCCAAAACAAAGCAAAAAAUCUCACCACGCUUGACCUAGCCACAUGACACAAAUUACAUUAAUAAAUUGGUAGAGUAUGAGCUGAUACUACAGUAAUAUGGCCAAUCACUGAAAAGGAAUACUUAAGUCUUCAGUAUUGGCACCAGCUGUUUCUCUGAUUAUUUUUAUUAGUUAUAUAGGUUAAAAUCUCCCAAACGUUUCAGCAAAACCUGUGAUUAAGUGUUCAGCCUAGGAUAUACUAUGGGGGAUAUUAGUCUUCCACCUCUGUGACAUGAAUUAUAAAUUAAUAUUUUGGCAUCAUAUAAAUACUAUUGUUUCUGUCAAAAUACCUUUUAUGUGUAUUUAUUAUGUUCAUCACAUUCAAGCACAUUUGUCUUUCAGUUUAUUGAAUAUUUAACAAGGUGGCUUUUACUCUUCAUGGGUUUCUUAUUUUUGUGCAAGUCCAAAGUAAGUUAUUCAUAUAUAUAAUCACACCUAUUUAUUAACCUAGAGAGACUUUGUAUAAUGUCUAGUUCAUUUGCCAUCAGUAGGACUUCUCAUGCUCUGCUAGGUUAAUGGUAUUGUAUGUUUGAAUUAUUUAUCUAAAACCUCAAACAUUCUAUUCUAGCUUUUAUUCUUACCCUACAGUCUAUUCUUGAAUAUAUGCUUCCUAAUUCUGAUUUCAUAUAAGUUUCAUAGCAUAGUAACUCCAUCAUUUUCAAUGGAAUUGCACUGUUUUUCAUUAUCAUACAUAGUAGUGUCAGAUCAUGAGCUUCCUUUAAGAUAUUUAACAUAAGCAUUGUAAUUGUGUGACUCCUCCAGUUUGUUCAGUAGCUAUUUCAGAAACAGUCUAACCAUUAGAAAGCAUAAACUGAUAGGCCCUCAUUCCCAUUUUAGUUCUCACUGUCACAGGACAGAGGCAAGAGGUACACAUCACCCAGACAGAGGUAGUUCUUUUGGUAUUUCAUGGAAAAGUAUUAUUUGUAAAUCUUUCCAUCAUCCAAAGAUUGCAUUAGCAGAGGUUAUUUUCUUGCAAUCCAAGAAAAUAAUGUCACUAGAAGGACCACAGACAACUAUCUCAUUGCCCAUAAUUUUAAAAUGGAAGACUGAUCCAAAAUCAAAGCAUUCUUCAAUGCUUUCUACAAUCUUGCACCAAAGUUUAGUAUGUAAAGUGAAAAAUUGUUUUUCUAGUGAAGAUGAACAGAAAAUAAAUAUCCACUUGCAUGUAAUAGUAGUUCAUAAAACUAUUUUUUCAAUAUGCAAUUUAUAUACAAAUUAAAUGCAAGAAUUUAGAAGGUUUAGGAAUGAAUUCUGUACUUUAUAUGUGCUUCAUGUCUUGUAUUAAUAGGAACAUCAAUGUAUUUUGCACAUUACUACCAAAUCUUCUAAUAAAAAUCAUAAGCAAAUGUGUGAGGGAUAAGUGACAUAAGAAUAAAAGUUAUGACUUAGUCAAUUGUGUUUUCAGAUGAGCAAUUAAAUUAUUUUUAUUGAUAUAUAUAAUUUAAAAACAUUAUAGCAGAAGCCCAUCAUGAGACUGUUUCAAGUAUUUAUGGUUUUAAAGUGAAUGCAGAGAAGGAUCUUAAGACAGCAGGUGAUCAGUGUUUUCCUCUAAGUGGAAGUACAGUAAUAAGGGAAGUAUCUUUCUUUCUCUGUAUGAAAAUCUAUUGGAAAAAAAUGGUCCUCAUUAAGUCUUAUGUAAAGCCAUCACAAAUACUGACUAAAGUAGUAUUUCCACAGAAGUAUUUAAAGUAGUGGAGAAAACUGAGUUGGAAGAUAGCAAAAUAAUUGGCUUCCAUUUAAUACUUAAGGAAAUAUUGAGCAGGAAUCAAGGCACUCGAUUUACGUACUGAAGUAAAAAUGUGGGUUGUAAGCCUCAUUUUAUAACUAUAAUUACAGUUGCAUAACUUCAGUUAUACUUAUAACCUCAGUUUAUGUAACUAUAACCCCAGAUAGCCAGAUAGUAUGUUUCUUCAAUCAGUAUGGGAUGAUUUGUGAACUUGAAUUUGGGCAGAAAUAGGAAAAACUCUUAUGCCUGAGAUGGACAGCUAAUAGUAGCAGUGCAGUGAUUGCUGUUAUUAGUCAAAUUACCCCGCAGUUAACACUGCAGUUAGAUAGUGCUCUAUACUCUUAAGGAAGAAUCUAUUAUAAUAUUUAAGGGAAUUACGGAAAUUCAUUAGUAGGGAAAAGGAUAGCAUUUGUUUCAUUUGUACGAAGUGACAGAGAAAAGAGACUUUUCAACACUUAGAAAAUUCUGGUUUGGACAUAUAUAGAGAAUUGGAAUAUACAAAUUUGGACAAAAUGCAUGUGUUAUCCUGGUAUGGGUAUAAUUGCGAGGCAGGCUGUAAGUGUACUAUAUUUCUAUGGAACUGCUUUCUAAUCUGGUUGUAUUUUGAAUUGUGGAUUUGCAUUGCCUUACAGGGAACCUAAAUAAAAAUCCUCUCCAA